GACGAACGCUGGCGGCGUGCUUAACACAUGCAAGUCGAACGGAAAGGCCCUGCUUUUGCGGGGUGCUCGAGUGGCGAACGGGUGAGUAACACGUGAGUAACCUGCCCUUGACUUUGGGAUAACUUCAGGAAACUGGGGCUAAUACCGGAUAGGAGCUCCUGCUGCAUGGUGGGGGUUGGAAAGUUUCGGCGGUUGGGGAUGGACUCGCGGCUUAUCAGCUUGUUGGUGGGGUAGUGGCUUACCAAGGCUUUGACGGGUAGCCGGCCUGAGAGGGUGACCGGCCACAUUGGGACUGAGGUACGGCCCAGACUCCUACGGGAGGCAGCAGUGGGGAAUAUUGCACAGUGGGCGGAAGCCUGAUGCAGCAACGCCGCGUGCGGGAUGACGGCCUUCGGGUUGUAAACCGCUUUCGCCUGUGACGAAGCGUGAGUGACGGUAAUGGGUAAAGAAGCACCGGCUAACUACGUG
This 468-nucleotide ribosomal RNA is filed under the name uncultured bacterium. Its description in RNAcentral is "partial 16S ribosomal RNA". It matches the Rfam family "Bacterial small subunit ribosomal RNA", at positions 28 to 507 of the family's 1533-position model. The record is from RNAcentral.